UGAGUAACCUGCCCUUAACUCUGGGAUAAGCCUGGGAAACUGGGUCUAAUACCGGAUAUGACUCCUCAUCGCAUGGUGGGGGGUGGAAAGCUUUAUUGUGGUUUUGGAUGGACUCGCGGCCUAUCAGCUUAUUGGUGAGGUAAUGGCUUACCAAGGCGACGACGGGUAGCCGGCCUGAGAGGGUGACCGGCCACACUGGGACUGAGACACGGCCCAGACUCCUACGGGAGGCAG
Molecule: ribosomal RNA, 234 nt
Filed under: uncultured bacterium
Lineage: Bacteria
Description: partial 16S ribosomal RNA
Rfam family: Bacterial small subunit ribosomal RNA
Source: RNAcentral